Molecule: long non-coding RNA, 925 nt
Filed under: Marmota monax (woodchuck)
Lineage: Eukaryota; Metazoa; Chordata; Mammalia; Rodentia; Sciuridae
Source: RNAcentral
UCCUCUCCUGAGCUGAGAGCCUGGGAAGUGCCCUUGCUGGACCUGCUAGUCCCUCGUAGGACCGAGAGCAGAGCAGCCAUCUUCCCAGGCUUGGCUCUGAAAGACCUGGUCUCGCCUGGCCAGUCUCCUUCUCUCCUCUCUCACCCUGCUCCUCUGACUUGGCCCCCAUCUUCCCCUUGAGGCCUGGUCUUCACGUUUUAUUACUGUUUUGGACUUGUCCCUGAAGGCAAGUCACUAGACAGAUGCUCUUUUGUGGACUGGUGGGUCCCGUGGCUGGCCCGUGGCCCCUCAGCCCUGGAUGCUGCUCAGGGGCUUGGACGUGUGAGGAGAAGGUGCAGUGACCCCGGACCACAGUGUCCUCAUUUCAUGGUGGCAGCGUCUGGCACGUCCAGCUCGCUCCUGGCAAGGCAGUGGGGAGUGGCGACAAGGAGGUCUGUCCAUCGCAGAGCACAUCUUACGACAGGAUGGGGACACUACUACUGGAACUCUGAGGAGUUCCAGGGGGCACUGAGGCCCCUUGUCCUGUGCCUCCCAUGGGACCAUCCCACGGUGAAGGGUGGGACAAGUGUGGGUGCAGGUUCCAGAGCCUGAGAACCCAGCAGUGAGGUCACUCACUAAACCACCAGGCGGGGUGGGAGGGGUGCCCCCAGCAGAACAGGGGGCAGCAGCCCGUGGGAGUGCCACUGAGCGGGAGAGCCCCUAGGAACAGGACGGACCUCCUUGCCGCUUUGGUGUGGCACUGAAAUGGCACCUUCUCGUGGAACUUUAAGAUAAAUCGUCAUUCUCACAUGGAAAGAAAGUAACAAGGGAGAUGUUACUUUGUGUUAGUUAAAGAGACUUUUUACAAGACCUUGGAGACACUUUGGGAGAUGGUGACACAAUGGCAUGUUGGCGCCAGAUGUGUCAAAGGAUCCAGGUGAGGGCG